Molecule: long non-coding RNA, 679 nt
Organism: Cavia porcellus (domestic guinea pig)
Lineage: Eukaryota; Metazoa; Chordata; Mammalia; Rodentia; Caviidae
Exons: 3
Source: RefSeq, a predicted model, not a curated record
AGAGAGAGUCCAUGAGCCUGACCAGACACUACUUUCAGGGCUCCAUCUGACUGUGGCUGGAUGUUCUGCACCACCAAGGUCUUCCCUUCUCCUCAAAGCGGAUGGCUAGCCUGGGCAGGAGGAGCCAGGAGAGAGGCCAGCUUGAUCCUGAUUGGGCAUCCUCAGGAUAAAGAGCUGAGCAGCCUUUAGUACAUUCACAACCUGAAUGGAGUGGUCGCUAUCCCUUCUGUCUUACUAGAGUGUUUUCAGCCCCACGGGAGUCUGCCCAUCUGGCAACCUACCCUGUCCCUGCUGGUCUGCAUAUCCUGGACCAUCUCCUGUCAGUGGAGGUCACAUCAAGCCUGUCCCUGCUGGUCUGCAUAUCCUGGACCAUCUCCUGUCAGUGGAGGUCACAUGGAGCCUGUCUUUCGGUGUCUGGCUUCUAUCUGAACAUCAUGCUUUUUGAGAGUCAUCUGCAUUGUACAGAGCUCCACAUUGUUGGAGCUUUUUCCCUUUCAUAGCUGAGCAGUAUUCCAUGGUAUGGACAGAGCACACUUUAUUCAUCACCUGUUGAUAAACAUCUGGAUUUUGUGAAUAAUGCUAUUUGAACAUGUGUGUAGAAAAGGUCCAUUUUUUUAACUUUGUAAAACGUUAAAGAUCCUGGAAGAAUGGAUAGGCAAGAGAAUUCUAAAGCAAUAAA